Long non-coding RNA from Mastomys coucha (southern multimammate mouse), 1395 nucleotides. RefSeq lists it as uncharacterized. Lineage: Eukaryota; Metazoa; Chordata; Mammalia; Rodentia; Muridae. The transcript has 2 exons. The record is from RefSeq and is a predicted model, not a curated record.
CCUCAGGCGGACGAAGAGCGCGGGAGGCCGCGGCCCCGCCCAGCGUCCGGGCCUCGAGCGCCAGCGGCUGGCGGGAGCAGCUCGUGGCGCGCCGGAGCCCGCCCGCCUCCCUGCGUGGACAGCUGGACACGGCGGCGCGGAGUCGUCCGCGGGCGGGGCGCGCGUCACCGAGAGCGUUCGCCGGGCGCUCCGGGUUCUGAGACGCCCGGGACGGGCGGGCUGUCAACCACCUGGGAGCAUCACUUGUCAAAAGAUAAACCGCUUGACGUCCUGGGAAAGGCGUCGGAGGCGCCUCCUGAGAUUCGUCGCCGCGGCGGAUCGGAACGCAGCCCCAGCUUGUCGGGGUGGCUGGCUUGCUCCACGCGGAGCGCGUGCGCGUGGCGCAGGGUCGAAGAAGUGGGAUGAGAGACUGGGAGAAGGGCGGUGGUCCUGCGAGGUCCGAUUCGCUGUUUGGCGAGUUGAGUCUCAAACCUUUCAGGGGCGUUCAGAAGUCUGGGCCUUAUCUCCUGGAGUUUUCUAGAGUAAGCCAGCCGCAGAAUAUUCUCGGCCCGCUGAGGACAGUUCCCAGAAACAUCAGCGUGGGACUGAGGCAGGAGGCUCCCUUUCGGACCGCUUGGCGGCUUGUUGCCCACUGCACCCCGCGGUUGGCUCUCAGCCUGCCACUGCUUCCUGUCGGAUUCAGUGGUGUCCAGAUUCUGGGUGCUGCUGUGGGUUGUGACCUAGGACUCAGCCCCAUCCCUUUGCUGUAUUCCUAAGAAUACUUACUUUUCACAGCCUACAGACCCCCACCCCUCAAUCCUCAGGAAUGUUCCUAGACUAGUGCUUUGAUCGAAAGGAGUGAGGGGGGAAAAAAGAAAAAAAAAAAAAGAAAGAAACCUUCAAGCCCAGGCAUUGCCCAUGAAGACCUGAAACCCUGAGAGUCUUAAGUCCAGGAAAGGCCUGGGGGCAGGAUUGCAGAGAGGAGCUGAAACAGACUCCUCUGCUUGAUACUAUCGGGCUAGCCAAAGGCACACUGGCUCCAGAAGACUUUCCAUCCACACACUAUGGUCACCUGUUUAGAUGCACUGGCAGCCUUGGAGUUCUGAGACUAUCACAGGAGAUAUUCUUAGAAGCCUUCGGCAAGUGAGUGGAACUCGAAUCCCAGGUGGGCCCCGAGUGGAACAGGACAGGGACAGCAGCAGCACAGCCGACUCCUAUUCGGUCUCUCCAAAGCUUCUCUAAAGACUCCACAUUCAAGCUGUAUUUUCCUACCUGGGGCCUGCAGUCCUGAAAAGUUCAGUCUGCUCUUCUGCUGCUCCAUGUGUCCCUAACUGAAGUCCACUUGUCUGCCUGCUCCUCCAGGCCUCGUGGAACUUUGUAAAAGCUGCUGCCAAAGAUAGGCCCAGGCCCGUUAGU